AUUAAAAUAAAAAAAUAAAAGGUGUUCAAAAUAUCAAUAAAUACUCUAACAGAACUAAAAUAACAUUGAUUACAACAAAGACUUUAACUAUAGAGGUUAUAGUAUUUUCAGAGCAUGUGUAAUGUCCCAUCUUAUUAAUGAUUGCAAUACAUUUAUAGUUCAUUCCUUCCUGAUCAAUAAAACCAUAAUCAUGUUCUGUUAAUUUAAAUGAUGCCGAGAUUACGUGUCAUUUUUAUGAUUGUGUUGAGUUGAGCAAUCAGUUGAGAGAAUUUCAGGACAGGAAAGGUCACUGAUCAAGUCCUCCUGUGGCUCCCAGCCUUUCUCAACAAUCAUCACAGGCUUCAGGGACACAAACAGCACAUCAGCAUGCUGCUGAGCACCUCAAAGCUGUUUGCAUUCUAGAGCAGUGAUUCAAGACGACACAUCUCCAUAUGGAAGAAAGUUCCAGCGGAAACGAGCAACUUCCACAGAAAGUUCCACCCUCUCACUCCCAUUUUCUACGCCCACAUGAUAUGACAGCUAGACAUGACCACGUGUACCUCCCUAAUGCAGCCUGUGCAUGUGGAAAGUUUAAAGGAACAUCCUUCCAGUGGUUUGGAUUUGAGAAGCGUUGCCAGAUCUUUUUAGGA
Cyprinus carpio (common carp) is the source of this 629-nucleotide long non-coding RNA. RefSeq lists it as uncharacterized. The record is from RefSeq and is a predicted model, not a curated record. NCBI's taxonomy places the organism in Eukaryota, Metazoa, Chordata, Actinopteri, Cypriniformes, Cyprinidae. The transcript has 2 exons.